CUGGUGGGAGGGGAGGUGCGGUGGACUGGGGGGAUGGGUGGCUGGGGUGACCGACUAAUGGCUUGUGGGGGUUGCCUUUCCCUCGGGAACAUAAUGUUUGGGAACAUAAUGUUUGAUACAGUGGAAGAGAAAGGGGUGGUUGGAUGCGGGCGGGAGGGAGGCCCGCCCUGCGGCAACCGGAGCGGGAGGGAGAAGGGAGCGGAACAUGGCUCAAAACCGGACGGAGCCAUUGCUCUCGCAGAGGGAGGAGCGCUUCCGGCUUGCCUCUUGUCUCUGAUUGGCCGCUUGUCCUCCCGCCGUGUGUGAAAACACAAAUGGCGUAUUCUCGUUGGAGUAAAGCGCUUGUCAGUUACAGCGUGGGGAGUGCGCAGCCGCCUAGCGACCCUCGCCUUGCCCCCUGGGUGGGGCGGGUAGGUAGAUGGGGUGGGGAGACGCUGGGUGUGCGGGCGCGGCCGGCUUCCCGCGGCGGGAGGGGAGGGUUAGUGAAAGUUGCUCCGGCGUGGGCGUCCUCUCUCACCCUCCCCUUCCUUCGGGGGAGUCGGUUUACCCGCCGCCUGCUUGCCUUCGACACCUGAUUGGAUGCCGAAGCUGGGGGACCGGGCUCAUGCUACUGGCUCGAGUCCCACAUGAGCGAAACCACUGCGCGGGGGUGGCGGGGAGGCGGGUAUUGGUACGGUCCUCCACGAGGCCCAGCGCCGCAGUGUCUGGCCCCGCGCCCCUGCGCAACGUGGCAGGAAGCGCGCGCUGGAGGCGGGGGCGGGCUGCCGGCAGAGACUUAUGGAUGGCGGCGGCCGCGGUUCCGCCCCUGGUGCCCGCUGCCUGAAGGGCGAGACAGGCCCGACUUGCUACGGGCACUCGUGGGGGUGGGGGAGGAGCGGGGGUCGGUUCGGCUGGUUUGUAGGUGGGAGGCGCAUGUUCUCCAACUACCGGCGCGAACUGCAAUCCUGAGGGAGCUGCGGUGGAGGAGGCGGAGAGAAGGCCGCACCCUUCUGUGCAGGGGGCGGGGAGUGCCGCAAUACCUUUAAGAGAGUUCUCUGCUGCCUCUGGUCUUCUAAGGACCGCCCUGGGCCUGGAAGAAUCCCUCCCUCCGCCCUCCCAGCCCCCCUUUCAUCUCGUCAUCGCCUCCAAGUCGAGUCGCUUCUCGAUUCUGGGCGGGAUUCUUUUGCCUAGACUUAAAGAGGCUAGCUUGCUACCAGGGCGUUGCCCUGCAGCGGAGUGAGCAGGUGUAAGAUUUGAGGGGCGAGGCGGAUUAUGUUCCCACGGACUUGAGUUGAUGUGGAGGUUAUUGUAAUAAGGGUGGGGUAGGGAAAGAGAGCCUAGGCAUUCACCUGGGGCUGAUUUUAUGCAACGAGACUGUAGAUUAUCACUACUUAAGAUCGUUUUUGGAGUAUUUUUCUAGAAAUAGAGAUAAAUUAAGGCAUGAUCACCUGAGUUUUACACCAUUUGAGAGCCUUGCUGCACUACCAAAGUUAUAACCUCAGAUUAAAUCUAAAUGGAAAAAUUUUAGCCUUUGCUUCAGAAACCAGUGCUUCCCUCCCUCCACCUCUCUCCCCAGGCUCUCCCCUCUGCAUCCCUACCGGGCAUCUUAGCAACUCUCACUCAUACAUUGAUCCCAUUUUCCAUUUGUUGUACUUGCUUAUCCAGUAUUCAGAUAUACCGCUGGCUUUCUCUCUCUCUUGAUCUUGGGUAGCCUGGUGAUUCAUGAAACCAGACAGAUUGGUUCCACCACAAAUUAAAGCUUGAGCUGGAGCUUGACUCUUACCCAUCAGCGCUUUUAUUCCUCCCUACUUUACGUUCUUGAAUGUUUACCUUGGUUUUAAUUUUAUCCUUUUUCCUUUGCUGGGAUUCUACCCCGGUCCUCUUCACAGUCCAGGUAAUCUUGACUACUGCUUUACAGAGAAUUUGACCUGAGGUUAGGUAGCACCUCCCUUUCUCUUCCUUGAAAUACCUCUCGAGCCAUCCCUUCAUUUCUGGUCUCAUCAGUAACUGAGCUCAGAUGCCAGUAUGAUAGCUUUCAAAUUGCUGUCUCUGUUUAGUGUUAUCUUCUGAUCCAUCUUACAUCUUGUCAGGAAGAUUGUCUUGAAGGAAGAUAGAGCAUGAAAAUGUCAGAUGAAACUCCAUUACUGGUUUGUAUUGUAAUGGAGUAAAACUCUUUUACUUGCUUGUAUAUUUCAACAUUCCUUGUAAAAGGAAAACCUGAAAUUUACAGCAAAUUGUUCAAACCGCGGGUCGCAUGGGACCUAAGAUGGCUUUGCGGUACAACAGAGAUUCGUAAACUUUCUUAAAAUGUUAGAUUUUUUUGCGGGUGUUUUGUUUUUUGGGGGGCUCAUCAGCCAUCCUUUAUGUGUGGCCCAAGGCAGUUCUUGCAGUGUGGCCCAGGAGAGCCAAAAGGUUGGACACCCCUGGUUUAUAGGAUAAAUUCUGCCUUUGUGAUUGUGAUGCACAAGUUCCCUGGAUAGACUUAACUCAAUUUAACAGCUUUUUCAUUUUCACCGUUUUCCACUUAUUACACAAACAUUACCUCUCUCCUGAAGUCACAUGGAAUACUUUGCAGUUACCCAAAUCAGAGAGGCAUUGUCAGUGGGGUGGUUCUUUCUGGAAUGCUACCCUUGCUGCUUCUGAUCCUGCAGAUUCAAAUGUCAUCCCCUCUCCCCUUUGGUCAUGCCUUUCACGGUCUGUUGUCCUAUGAGCAAAACUCUCCUAUUAAAAAAGGAGUUUUCUCCUGACUUCUGAGCAUGACUCAGUAUUUCUCAGGUUGUUGUCAUUGAUGAUUUAAAUUAUCGUAACUAUUCUGAGCUUUAUGAGGGGACAGUUUCUUGUAUCUUGUAUUCCUGAGCUCCUGGUAUACUCUAAUGUCUAGCCAACCCUAAGUAAAUGGAGUAAGCGACAUGUAAAUGUCUUUACAGUUUGAUAUUUUAUUCAUCUUGAGCAUUGGAAAAGUGGCUGGUAGGAAUAAAGAACUGAAAUUUUAUUUUUUAUCUAAUUUAAAUUGCAACUAUGGACAGUAUAGCUGUAGCCACAGACUUGUUCUUUGGAUUACAGAAUACAUGGACAUUGAUUGUUUUCUCUUUGUACUGAGCAGUAAGGAAAUAAAACCUGAAGCUCUUUGGCCCAUUACAUUUUAUUUAACUGCUUUUUUUAAUUUUACUUUUUAUGUAUUUAGCUGAAAGCUAAAUCCAACCAUUUUUAAAGAUGUGCCUGCCUUGGACAACAAUGUGUUGAGAAAAGUGUUAAUGAGUUUGGAUUUCAAAGGAAAAAAAAAGCAUAAUGAAUUUUAGGGACGUGAGAUUCCAUUGAACUGUGACAGGAGUUACAUAAUUAAAUAUAACAACUUUAAUGAGGAAUGGGUCUCUCUGAUAUAAAUGAACCCAGCCCUAAAUUUUAGUCCUAUACGUUUUCUCUUCUGGGAAACACUUGAUUGGAGGAGCCAUAAGCAUCAUGUCUUCUGUUACAGAAAACAGUAACUAAGUUUUAUCCUGAGGAAUUAUAAAUUAAUACCAACAUUUUAACACCAAAUGCUUUUUAUGUGCUAAUCUUACACAUUUUAAUAAUUUAUUUUUGAGAUGGAGUCUUACCCUGUCACUCAGUCUGGAGUGCAAUAGCAUGAUCAUGACUCACGCAGCCUUGACUUCUUGGGCUCAAGUGAUCCUCCUGCCUCAGCCUCCUGAGUAGCUGGGACUACAGGCACAUGCUUCCAUGCCCAAUUUUUGUGGUUUGUUUUUUUUGGUAGAGAUGGGGUUUUCCUGUGCUGAGCAGGUUGGAACUCCUGGGCUCAAGUUACCUUCCUGUCUAAGCCUCCCAAAGUCCUGGGACUACAGGCAUGAGUCACUGCCCUGGGCCAUUGAAUAUCCUUUUAAAAAUACAUUUUAAUUUAAAGUUUCUCUUUAGAGAAUAAGACCCUUGGUCAGUGGUCUUCAAACUUCCUGUGUGCAGAGACAGUUAGUUGUCUUACUUAAUACAGAUUCCCAGACCAUGGAAGAUGCUGAAUUCUUUUGGGGAAGGUGGAACCCCACUGGGCAGGCUGUGUAAUUUGGUAUCUUUUCAAGUUCAUUUGCUUACUCAGAACCCCAGGGCUAUAGUAUCCCUAUUUACCUGCCAAAAAUGAUUAAAAUUUCGGAGAAAUUCUUCUCAGUUGUACGGUACAUGUCCCUCAAUUUAUUUUCUCAAAUGAACUGUUUUUUCCUCCCCCUAAAAAAAUAACAGAAUGGGAAAACAUUUUGAAAGGCAAAGAGGAAUAGUAAUUAAUAUUUUUGGAAACUUGUAGGUCAGGUUUGUUUUUUUUUUUAACAAGGAAUGUUGAAAUAUAUUUUCAAACAAGAGAAGUUCACCUUAUUUUUUGUUUCUCCUGCUUAAUUGCAGUCCUUAAGGAAAGCGAUUUUUCACUCCUCAGUGCCAAGCACAGAGCUGGGAGCUCAAAACAUGUUAGUUUUGUUGGUUUAUAUGUGAAAUUGAUUCUCAAGUAAUAGUUAAGCUCACAAAACAUAUCAACAAGCUUCCUUUUCAGGAGAGACUUCAGGGUCCAUUUAACCUACUUCAAGUCUCCUAAUAUUCUAUUCAUAGAGGAAACUGAUGCCUCCUCGUCUCUGAAUACAUUUAUCCCAUCAUUCACUUCUUUGGGUUUCCUGUACUAACCAUUGCAAUUAGCCUCUUCCUAUGCUAUACUUCCUUGGGCUUUUUGUUUAAAUUAACCAGCUACCUAUCUCCUUUCCAAGUAGUUACAUACUACUUACUACACUUACAAGACAAAUUUAUUAGGUAUAUUACACACUUGUACUUGCAUGAGAAAGCUGGUGAAGGUUUUGAGGUCUAGUGUGUGUGUGUGAGAUUUGCAAAAGUUAAACUAGAUAGGUUACUUCCAUAUAUUUUUUGUGAAUGGGGGCUUGGUGUAAUUAUAUAAUUCUGUUUUGCAACACUAGUUUGACUGUUAAGUUAGUUGUAGAGCACCUUGUUAGGUUGCAAAUCCAGAAGUCUGGUGGCGUUGGACUUUGCAGGUUGCUAAUUUAGUGGCAUGGUAGUUUAUAUUAGAGGGCAUACUUCUCAAGAAGACUUUUUUUCUUGUCCAUGACUCUGCGUUCUUGAGAUUAGAUAAUAUAUUGGAUUAUUAGAGAAGUUGUUAGUGAGCAUUGAAUCAAAUAGUUGUUUUAUCUAGACCAGGGUUAAACCUAAUGAAUUCUUUCUGUUCUGUUAUGGAGUGUACUUUCUUAGUGACAAGAAAGACUUCCUGCCUCUUUUUAUCUCAGUCAUGGUUACAUUUAAUAAUCCUGCUUUCCAGCUUUUUCCUAGAGCUCAGUCAUCAGUCACUUUUCGUUUUCUGUUUUUUUUUUUUUUUUUUUUUUUUUUUUUUUUUAAUACUUAUGUAACAUUGGCUUUUCCUACUAACAUCGUUUUAAAUCAUGUUUACAGAAUUGGUUAUUUCAUCACCUAUCUCACCUCUAGUUUAUGGAUUCUGGUAAACUCAGUCAAAAGUCUUUACAGCCUUUUCUCUUUUUACUGACAUUGAUUUAAAAUUGAAUUUCAGACUGAGGUAUUGCCUACUAUAAUAAUGGUAACAUACUCUAGUGAAUACUAUAGGCAAAGAAAUGAACUAAUAAUAGUUAUUGAAUGCCUUUUGUGCACAAGACACCUGUAACUGCAGGUGUGGUAGAAAUAGCAAGAGAACUGGAAGUAGAGGGUUGAAGAAGUGACUGAAUUGCUGCAAUCCUCAUGAUCAAGUUUGAAUGGAUGAGGAGUUGCUUCUUAGGGAUGAGCGAAGAAAGUGGUUUCCUGAUAUGGAAUCUACUGGUGCAGUUGCUGUGAACAUUGUUAAAAUGACAACAAACUAUUUCGGAUAUAACAGAAACCUAGUUGAUAAAGCAGUGCCAGGGUGUGAGAGAGUUGACUUUAAUUUUUAAGUAAGUUCUACUGACUGGGUGUGGUUGUUCACACCUGUAAUCCUAGCACUUUGGGAGACUGAGGCAGGCAGGUGGAUGGAUCACUUGAGGCCAGGAGUUCAAGACCAGCCUGGCCAACGUGGUGAAACCCCGUCUCUACCAAAAUUAGCCAGGUGUGGUAGUGCACUCCUGUAGUCCUACCUACUUGGGAGGCUGAGGCAGGAGAAUCUCUUGAACCUGGGAGGCACAGGUUGCAGUGAGCCAAGAUGGCGCCACUGCACUCCAGUCUGGGGGACAGAGAGCUUGUCUCAAAAACAAAAAAGAAAAAAAAAGUUCGGUGGGUAAAAUGCUAUCAUGCUAUCAAACAGAUGAAGUCUUGUGAAAGGAAGUCAGUGUAGCAAACUUUAUUCUUAAGAAAUUGCCACAGCCAUCCCAAUCUUCAACAGGCACCGCCCUAAUGAGUUAAUAGCCAUCAUUAACAUUGAUGCAGGACCCUCCAGCAGCAAAAAGAUUGUUAGCAUUUUUUAGCAGUGGAGUAUUUAUUAAUUACACAUAAUACUAUUGUUUACUUUUAAAACUGUGGUAUAGUGUAACCAAUGCAGGACCCUUCAGCAGCAAAAAGAUUGUUAGCAUUUUUUAGCAGUGGAGUAUUUAUCAAUUACACAUAAUACUAUUGUUUACUUUUAAAACUAUGGUAUAGUGGAACCGUAACUUAAACGAUGCAUUGGGAAACCAACAAAUUCAUGAGACUUUAUUGUAGUGCUCUGGGAUUGAGCCUGCAGUGUUUUUGAGGUAUACUUCUUGUAUUUAUUAUGUUCCUUAUAUAUAAAACCCCAUUUUACAGAGUAGGAAACUAAGGCUCAGAGUUUGAGCAAUUUUCCCAUAGAAAACAGUAAAUUGAGGGCUAGGGAUUGAAACUCAGGUGUGAGUGAUGAUUUGUAUUCCUAACUAGCUUGUAUACCUUUAUCUGAUGGAAACAUUCUUUUAGGGAGUUUAAUCUGGCUGUAGGAUAUAGGAUAGGUUGUAGGGAUGGAGAGAUUUGAAAGCAGAGAGACCACUUAGGUGGUUGGUACUCUUACAGUAGUGUAGACAUCAGGUAAUGAAAUUUGGCUUAACAGCAACAACAGAAGGAAGUUAAAGGAUUCAGGAACCAAAUGUCAGUUAUUGAGUAGAGAGAAUGGUCUCAAAACAUCACUUCUCAAGGAGGCCUUCCUUGAUACCCUCACCCCUACUAUACUGUAUCCUCCAUUUGAAUGUUGUCAAAAGCUCUUCUCAUAAUUGUAAUUUUGUUUCUUUCCCCUACUUUAGGUUGCUCCUUGACAGCAGGACAAUGCUUAUGGCUUUAUCCGUUGCCUAAGCUCAGAGAGGUCUGCGAGGUCAAAACUAUUUUCAUGAUAGCAAGAUGCUUCCCUUUUUCACUCAUUCUCUCAGUGUUCAGAGGCUCCAUGAUGUGUGAUGACAUCGUCAUUGAUGUUAAUGAAUGGUGCUAUACUUGAAUUCUCUAAGGUGUGGUUAGGUAGGUUUAGGUAUGCAUACUUUUUAAAAUUAGUUUUUUCCCCUUUUCUCAUUUUUAGAAAUAACUCACUAGGUUAUGCCUUCAGUAAUCUUUGCAACCUGAAUAUUAUAGUUUUCGUGCCUAAGCAUGAACAUAAGAAGUACAUUUUGUUGUGUUGUUUGCAGUGGUUUAAAUAUUUUCCUAAAAUACCCAAAAUUAAAAAUUUUACAACUUUAGAAUUUAAUAACUAUUCUAAAAUAAAUCUAUAUUUUUCUCAUUUAAGAAUGGA
Molecule: non-coding RNA, 7654 nt
Organism: Callithrix jacchus (white-tufted-ear marmoset)
Lineage: Eukaryota; Metazoa; Chordata; Mammalia; Primates; Cebidae
Source: RefSeq, a predicted model, not a curated record